This 301-nucleotide ribosomal RNA is filed under the name uncultured bacterium. RNAcentral describes it as "partial 16S ribosomal RNA". It matches the Rfam family "Bacterial small subunit ribosomal RNA", at positions 509 to 807 of the family's 1533-position model. The record is from RNAcentral.
CAGUAGCCGCGGUAAUACGUAGGGGGCAAGCGUUAUCCGGGAUUACUGGGUGUAAAGGGAGCGUAGACGGUUAAACAAGUCUGAAGUGAAAUGCCGGGGCUCAACCCCGGAGCUGCUUUGGGAACUGUAGAACUGGAGUGUCGGAGGGGUCAGCGGAAUUCCCAGUGUAGCGGUGAAAUGCGUAGAUAUUGGGAGGAACACCGGCGGCGAAGGCGGCUUACUGGACGACAACUGACGUUGAGGCUCGAAGGCGUGGGUAGCAAACAGGAUUAGAUACCCCUGUAGUCCCUGUCUCUUAUAC